CGGUGGCGAUAGCAAGGGGGACCCACCCGUUCCCAUGCCGAACACGGAAGUUAAGCCCCUUCACGUCGAUGAUACUUGGUGGGAGACUGCCUGGGAAAGUAGAUAGUUGCCG
Molecule: ribosomal RNA, 112 nt
Filed under: human gut metagenome
Source: RNAcentral